Long non-coding RNA from Ooceraea biroi (clonal raider ant), 519 nucleotides. RefSeq lists it as uncharacterized. NCBI's taxonomy places the organism in Eukaryota, Metazoa, Arthropoda, Insecta, Hymenoptera, Formicidae. The record is from RefSeq and is a predicted model, not a curated record.
AUUUAUAUUUUUAUAUUCCAUAGUUUUAUUUCUUUUUACAACGGAGAAAUGGUAUAAUUAUUAAUAAUAAAUAACUUCUUUUAACGACCCUUCCGACUGGCACAUUUAUUCCAUUAAAAAAUUAUAUAAUUAUUAUUUCUAAAUCGAUCAAUUGCUAAAAUGUUAAAUUAAUAGGAAAAAUAUCGUUCGCAUAUAUAAAAUUGGAAAACACUUAUGAAAGUUUUAUUGAACUUCGAAGCUGAAAAUUCUGACAAUUCCAUGAAUUCCAAUAAUUUUGCUGAAUUUGCGGCCGAGGUAUCGAUGCAGAUCGAGAAUCCAAAUCACCUGUUCAGAAUACUUUAGAUCUUAAUGUACACUCGCGUAACGACGUAACACUAUCUUGAGUAGAGGGGAUGGCUGGUCACGUACACAGACAACGUCCGUGACACAGGCUAGAAAGUGUUUUGAAGUAUUUGUAACACCGAGUGGACCGUAUUUGGAGUAAUACGUAAAUGAAAAUAAAAAUUUUCACGAACGUCA